AGCGAACGCUGGCGGCAGGCUUAACACAUGCAAGUCGAGCGGGCAUCCUUGUGGUGUCCGCGGCAGACGGGUGAGUAACGCGUGGGAACGUGCCCUUCGGUUCGGAAUAACUCAGGGAAACUUGAGCUAAUACCGGAUACGCCCUUUUGGGGAAAGGUUUACUGCCGAAGGAUCGGCCCGCGUCUGAUUAGCUAGUUGGUGAGGUUACGGCUCACCAAGGCGACGAUCAGUAGCUGGGCUGAGAGGAUGAUCAGCCACACUGGGACUGAGACACGGCCCAGAAUCCUACGGGAGGCAGCAGUGGGGAAUAUUGGACAAUGGGGGCUAACCUGAUCCAGCCAUGCCGCGUGAGUGAUAACAGCCUUAGGGUUGUAAAGCUCUUUUCUCCGGGACGAUAAUGACGGUACCGGAGGAAUAAGCCCCGGCUAACUUCGUG
Molecule: ribosomal RNA, 436 nt
Filed under: uncultured bacterium
Lineage: Bacteria
Description: partial 16S ribosomal RNA
Rfam family: Bacterial small subunit ribosomal RNA
Source: RNAcentral